AGCACACGGAAGAGGAGCUGCCAGAGCGCGGAGGUCUGCGGAAAAUAAAAAGCGGGCGGUCAGCGGAGCCGGCCCAACUCCCUGCGAGGGCCCGGGACCCCACCCGGCCCGCCUGCCCUCCGCGAGAGCGUCACCGCCUCCGGACGGUCGAACUUGGCGCGGCGGAAGAUCUCGGGGCUGGGUCCCGAGGGCAGCGACCGACUCAACGCGGCGAUGGCCUCAGGCAGGGCCCCGGCCCGGGCCCCAGCCGCGGGGUCCACCCGCUGCCGCCGCCUCCCCAUGCAGCCAGCACCAGCCUCUUUCGGAUCGCCCGCCUCCGCCGCGGCCCGGGGCCUGCGUCCAAUCACCGCACGGGCCGGGUUUAGUGCGGCGGCUGGGACCUGCGCC
This 387-nucleotide long non-coding RNA is filed under the name Homo sapiens (human). RNAcentral's name for it is "HSALNT0379606". The record is from RNAcentral. Lineage: Eukaryota; Metazoa; Chordata; Mammalia; Primates; Hominidae.